Molecule: ribosomal RNA, 252 nt
Filed under: uncultured Bacteroidales bacterium
Lineage: Bacteria; Pseudomonadati; Bacteroidota; Bacteroidia; Bacteroidales
Description: partial 16S ribosomal RNA
Rfam family: Bacterial small subunit ribosomal RNA
Source: RNAcentral
UACGGAGGAUGCGAGCGUUAUCCGGAUUUAUUGGGUUUAAAGGGUGCGUAGGCGGACUGGAAAGUCAGCGGUAAAAUCGAGAGGCUCAACCUCUUUCCGCCGUUGAAACUGUCGGUCUUGAGUGGGCGAGAAGUAUGCGGAAUGCGUGGUGUAGCGGUGAAAUGCAUAGAUAUCACGCAGAACUCCGAUUGCGAAGGCAGCUUACCAAACUAUAUCUGACGUUGAGGCACGAAAGCGUGGGGAGCAAACAGG